UACGAAGGGGGCUAGCGUUGUUCGGAAUUACUGGGCGUAAAGCGCACGUAGGCGGAUAUUUAAGUCAGGGGUGAAAUCCCAGAGCUCAACUCUGGAACUGCCUUUGAUACUGGGUAUCUUGAGUAUGGAAGAGGUAAGUGGAAUUCCGAGUGUAGAGGUGAAAUUCGUAGAUAUUCGGAGGAACACCAGUGGCGAAGGCGGCUCACUGGCCCGGUACUGACGCUGAGGCGCGAAAGCGUGGGGAGCAAACAGG
This 253-nucleotide ribosomal RNA is filed under the name uncultured bacterium. Its description in RNAcentral is "partial 16S ribosomal RNA". It matches the Rfam family "Bacterial small subunit ribosomal RNA", at positions 524 to 776 of the family's 1533-position model. The record is from RNAcentral.